RNAcentral lists this ribosomal RNA (253 nucleotides) under uncultured bacterium. RNAcentral's name for it is "partial 16S ribosomal RNA". It matches the Rfam family "Bacterial small subunit ribosomal RNA", at positions 524 to 776 of the family's 1533-position model. The record is from RNAcentral.
UACAGAGGUCUCAAGCGUUGUCCGGAAUCAUUGGGCGUAAAGAGCGCGUAGGCGGCCCAGUCAGUCCGCUGUGAAAGUCAAGGGCUCAACCCUUGGAUGCCGGUGGAUACUGCUGGGCUAGAGUCCGGAAGAGGCGAGUGGAAUUCCUGGUGUAGCGGUGAAAUGCGCAGAUAUCAGGAAGAACACCCGUGGCUAAGGCGGCUCUCUAGUACGGUACUGACGCUGAGACGCGAAAGCGUGGGGAGCGAACAGG